RNAcentral lists this ribosomal RNA (494 nucleotides) under uncultured bacterium. RNAcentral's name for it is "partial 16S ribosomal RNA". It matches the Rfam family "Bacterial small subunit ribosomal RNA", at positions 28 to 507 of the family's 1533-position model. The record is from RNAcentral.
GACGAACGCUGGCGGCGUGCUUAACACAUGCAAGUCGAACGGAAAGGCCUGCUUUCCCUUGUGGAUUGCGGGUACUCGAGUGGCGAACGGGUGAGUAACACGUGAGUGAUCUGCCCCCAACUUGGGUAUAAGCCUGGGAAACUGGGUCUAAUUCCCGAUAGGACUGCAGGGUGGUGCCUGUGGUGGAAAACGAUUUUCUAGUGGUUGGGGAUGAGCUCGCGGCCUAUCAGCUUGUUGGUGGGGUAAUGGCCUACCAAGGCGGCGACGGGUAGCCGGCCUGGGAGGGUGGACGGCCCCAUUGGGACUGAGAUACGGCCCCGACUCCUACGGGAGGCAGCAGUGGGGAAUAUUGCACAAUGGGCGGAAGCCUGAUGCAGCGACGCCGCGUGGGGGAUGACGGCCUUCGGGUUGUAAACUCCUUUCGACCGCGAGGAAGCCACCUGGUUGGAAGGGUGGUGACGGUAGUGGUAGAAGAAGCACCGGCUAACUACGUG